UUUGUUAUAAGAAAAUUUUUUAAGUCUCUAAUUUUUCUGUAAAUAAACUGAUUGUUAACUAUAAAAAAUUAACAUAUCAUUGGCGACAAUUAUCAUAUACUUCUAUCAGCGUUCUGUUAUAAAAUGAUACAUUUAUUUUGAUAAUACUUAAAUGCUAUAGGAAGCUUUCCAGCAAAAAACACAUGCACAUAUAUCGACACAGAAGUCGUUCUGUCUUUCAUAGAUAUUAAGAAAAAUAGAAACAGGAUAACUUUGGUAUGUAACUCGCUGAAAAGCAUCCACUGUUUGGUCAUGAUGAUGUGACUUGAUGUGACAGUACAAAUAAAUAUCUCCUCUUUUGAGUUAUUUGGCUUUACUUUUAUUUUUCGAAACUAACGCAGUAGAUAUUUCCACAGGUAUAUUUCUUUACAGUUGUUAAAUUAGUAUUUUGUAUCGUUUUAUUUUUCUAUCAUUAUUUUCCAUGAUGCAACAUCAUGCUAUUACUAUAUUAUUUUAUAUCUCUAAACACUCAAGGACAGAAUGAUAAUACUGAUAACACAUUCGCAAAACGCAGCCUAGCUCUGGAGAAGUAUGUUCCUUUAUAUAUGUAUAUAAACACUUACGUUAGCGGUUGACGAGCAUUGCAAUUUUUAGCGAAAUAAGUUGCUGAAGUGAGUAAAAAGGAAUGAAUCUAAGUGAAACAAGAGCAAUAAGCGAAAAAAAACAGAAGAGACAGGCAAGAGUGAGGAAAUAGAGUGAGAGAGACAAAAGUAUAUAUAAAAUUAAUAUAAGAAAUUACACGAACAUUCAAGUUCAGUAUCUAACAUAGGCAAAAACAACGCUGGCGUUAGCACUUCUAAUAACAAUUCGAGAAACCUAUUCACAACUAACGUUAUGAACAACUUUAAUCAGAAUAUUAUAACGAUUCAGAAUGAUAGUCGCGGGAACACGAAUCAGAGCAAUUCUAAUUCCAGAGCUCUCAAAAGGCCUACAACCAACAGAAGGUGCGGAAUUUGCAGAGAAGAAGGUCAUACGAGGAAUAAUUG
Wasmannia auropunctata (little fire ant) is the source of this 1025-nucleotide long non-coding RNA. RefSeq lists it as uncharacterized. The record is from RefSeq and is a predicted model, not a curated record. Lineage: Eukaryota; Metazoa; Arthropoda; Insecta; Hymenoptera; Formicidae. The transcript is spliced from 3 exons.